GGCACGAACGAUGUCGAUUUGGAGGUUGUGCCCUUGAGGCGUGGCUUCCGGAGCUAACGCGUUAAAUCGACCGCCUGGGGAGUACGGCCGCAAGGUUAAAACUCAAAUGAAUUGACGGGGGCCCGCACAAGCGGUGGAGCAUGUGGUUUAAUUCGAUGCAACGCGAAGAACCUUACCUGGUCUUGACAUCCACAGAACUUUCCAGAGAUGGAUUGGUGCCUUCGGGAACUGUGAGACAGGUGCUGCAUGGCUGUCGUCAGCUCGUGUUGUGAAAUGUUGGGUUAAGUCCCGCAACGAGCGCAACCCUUAUCCUUUGUUGCCAGCGGUUAGGCCGGGAACUCAAAGGAGACUGCCAGUGAUAAACUGGAGGAAGGUGGGGAUGACGUCAAGUCAUCAUGGCCCUUACGACCAGGGCUACACACGUGCUACAAUGGCAUAUACAAAGAGAAGCGACCUCGCGAGAGCAAGCGGACCUCAUAAAGUAUGUCGUAGUCCGGAUUGGAGUCUGCAACUCGACUCCAUGAAGUCGGAAUCGCUAGUAAUCGUAGAUCAGAAUGCUACGGUGAAUACGUUCCCGGGCCUUGUACACACCGCCCGUCACACCAUGGGAGUGGGUUGCAAAAGAAGUAGGUAGCUUAACCUUCGGGAGGGCGCUUACCACUUUGUGAUUCAUGACUGGGGUGAAGUCGUACAGGGAAACCCGUAAAAGGAAGGGGGGGGGGGGGGGGGGGGAGGGGCGGGGGGGGGGGAAAAGGGGGGGGGGGGGCGAGGCAGGAGCGUAGAGAGGGGGGGGGA
This 795-nucleotide ribosomal RNA is filed under the name Klebsiella pneumoniae. Its description in RNAcentral is "bacterial SSU rRNA". The stretch from base 1 to 708 matches the Rfam family "Bacterial small subunit ribosomal RNA", at positions 799 to 1533 of the family's 1533-position model. The record is from RNAcentral. Lineage: Bacteria; Pseudomonadati; Pseudomonadota; Gammaproteobacteria; Enterobacterales; Enterobacteriaceae.